CUCUUACCGAUUUGACUUGGGAAAGGAUACCUCAUGAUGGACAUAUUCCUUGUGCCAGAGAAGGUCAUACCCUUUGUGUAGUAAGAGGGAAGAUAUAUUUAUUUGGAGGGUGUUCAAGCCCGGAUGCUAAAGAAUGUCUUCCAGGAGUCUACAGCUUUGACCUUAGUUCUUUAACAUGGCAGAAGGUAAAAACCAAUGGCAUUGCACCUCAGACCCUCAGACACAGUUCAGCAGUAAUAGG
Molecule: long non-coding RNA, 241 nt
Organism: Mauremys reevesii (Reeves's turtle)
Lineage: Eukaryota; Metazoa; Chordata; Testudines; Geoemydidae
Exons: 3
Source: RefSeq, a predicted model, not a curated record